This 308-nucleotide ribosomal RNA is filed under the name Peronia verruculata. RNAcentral describes it as "partial large subunit ribosomal RNA". Lineage: Eukaryota; Metazoa; Mollusca; Gastropoda; Systellommatophora; Onchidiidae. The record is from RNAcentral.
GGAGUCGAGUAUGAAUGGGUCUACGGAAACAAGCUGUCUCUUUUUGGUUAUAUUGAAGUUUCUUUAAGGGUGCAAAGUCCCUUGAUUAGAAAAAAGACGAGAAGACCCUUAGAGUUUUUAUUAAAGAUAAGAAUUUAUUUAAGUUUUUGCUGGGGCGGCAAAGAGACAAAGCAAUUAAACUCUCUUUUUAUUGUUUUUAGAAGACGAAAAUGUUAAGAAUCAUUAAACUACCUUAGGGAUAACAGCAUAAUUAAAUUUUAGUUUGUGACCUCGAUGUUGGACUAGGAAGGCUUUUGACCAGCAGUCAA